Molecule: ribosomal RNA, 301 nt
Filed under: uncultured bacterium
Lineage: Bacteria
Description: partial 16S ribosomal RNA
Rfam family: Bacterial small subunit ribosomal RNA
Source: RNAcentral
CAGUAGCCGCGGUAAUACGUAGGGUGCGAGCGUUGUCCGGAAUUAUUGGGCGUAAAGAGCUUGUAGGCGGUCUGUCGCGUCUGCUGUGAAAACCCGAGGCUCAACCUCGGGCCUGCAGUGGGUACGGGCAGACUAGAGUGCGGUAGGGGAGAACGGAACUCCUGGUGUAGCGGUGGAAUGCGCAGAUAUCAGGAAGAACACCGAUGGCGAAGGCAGUUCUCUGGGCCGUAACUGACGCUGAGAAGCGAAAGCGUGGGGAGCGAACAGGAUUAGAUACCCGAGUAGUCCCUGUCUCUUAUAC